AUCGAUAAUCCGCGCUAANUUUCACUCUUAUUACAUAUUUAUAUACCGCCAUCUUAAGAAUUAAUUUAAAAACAUUACUCAAAAAAACAAAUAAAAAGUUAGGUCAAGGUGUAAUUAACAUAAAAGCAUGAGAUGAAUUACUUUAAAUAAAAUUUAAAGAUUAAAUAUAAUAUAUAUUUAUAAAUAAGGAUUUAAAAGUAAUAUUUUAAUAAUAUUACAAUAUGAGAUAAAUUAAAAAUGUGUACACAUCGCCC
Molecule: ribosomal RNA, 254 nt
Filed under: Draconarius sp. ZZ576
Lineage: Eukaryota; Metazoa; Arthropoda; Arachnida; Araneae; Agelenidae
Description: partial 12S ribosomal RNA
Source: RNAcentral